This 42-nucleotide non-coding RNA is filed under the name Schistosoma mattheei. The record is from RNAcentral. Lineage: Eukaryota; Metazoa; Platyhelminthes; Trematoda; Strigeidida; Schistosomatidae.
AUCCAGCCGAGUCACAAAUAGGACGAAACACGCGUCCUGGAU